This 573-nucleotide ribosomal RNA is filed under the name uncultured Peptostreptococcus sp. RNAcentral's name for it is "bacterial SSU rRNA". It matches the Rfam family "Bacterial small subunit ribosomal RNA", at positions 941 to 1504 of the family's 1533-position model. Lineage: Bacteria; Bacillati; Bacillota; Clostridia; Peptostreptococcales; Peptostreptococcaceae. The record is from RNAcentral.
GUGGGUUUAAAUUCGAAGGCAAACGCGAAAGAACCUUUACCUAAGCUUGACAUCCUUUUUGACCGAUGCCUAAUUCGCAUCUUUCCCUUCGGGGACAGAAGUGACAGGUGGUGCAUGGUUGUCGUCAGCUCGUGUCGUGAGAUGUUGGGUUAAGUCCCGCAACGAGCGCAACCCUUGCCUUUAGUUGCCAUCAUUAAGUUGGGCACUCUAGAGGGACUGCCAGGGAUAACCUGGAGGAAGGUGGGGAUGACGUCAAAUCAUCAUGCCCCUUAUGCUUAGGGCUACACACGUGCUACAAUGGGUGGUACAGAGGGCAGCGAAGUCGUGAGGCCAAGCUAAUCCCUUAAAGCCAUUCUCAGUUCGGAUUGUAGGCUGAAACUCGCCUACAUGAAGCUGGGGUUACUAGUAAUCGCAGAUCAGAAUGCUGCGGUGAAUGCGUUCCCGGGUCUUGUACACACCGCCCGUCACACCAUGGGAGUUGGGGGCGCCCGAAGCCGGCUAGCUAACCUUUUAGGAAGCGGUCGUCGAAGGUGAAACCAAUAACUGGGGUGAAGUCGUAACAAGGUAACCGUA